AGAGUUUGAUCAUGGCUCACAACGAACGCUGGCGGCGUGCUUAACACAUGCAAGUCGAACGUGAUCCAGAGCUUGCUCUGGUGAAAGUGGCGCACGGGUGAGUAACGCGUGGAUAACCUGCCCUGGUAUCUGGGAUAACAUCUCGAAAGGGGUGCUAAUACCGGAUAAGCCCACGAACUCCUCGGAGUUUGCGGGAAAAGGAGGCCUCUAUUUAUAAGCUUCCGUAUCAUGAUGGGUCCGCGUACCAUUAGCUAGUUGGUGGGGUAAUGGCCUACCAAGGCGACGAUGGUUAGCUGGUCUGAGAGGAUGAUCAGCCACACUGGAACUGAGACACGGUCCAGACUCCUACGGGAGGCAGCAGUGGGGAAUUUUGCGCAAUGGGGGAAACCCUGACGCAGCAACGCCGCGUGAGUGAUGAAGGCUUUCGGGUCGUAAAGCUCUGUCAGUGGGGAAGAAAUGGGGCUGGCUAAUAUCCAGUCUUCUUGACGGUACCCACAAAGGAAGCACCGGCUAACUCCGUGCCAGCAGCCGCGGUAAUACGGAGGGUGCAAGCGUUGUUCGGAUUUAUUGGGCGUAAAGCGCGUGUAGGCGGUUUUUUAAGUCUGAUGUGAAAGCCCUGGGCUCAACCCAGGAAGUGCAUUGGAUAC
Molecule: ribosomal RNA, 647 nt
Filed under: uncultured bacterium
Lineage: Bacteria
Description: bacterial SSU rRNA
Rfam family: Bacterial small subunit ribosomal RNA
Source: RNAcentral